AGUGAACGCUGGCGGUAGGCCUAACACAUGCAAGUCGAACGGCAGCACAGUAAGAGCUUGCUCUUACGGGUGGCGAGUGGCGGACGGGUGAGGAAUACAUCGGAAUCUACUUUUUCGUGGGGGAUAACGUAGGGAAACUUACGCUAAUACCGCAUACGACCUACGGGUGAAAGCAGGGGAUCUUCGGACCUUGCGCGAUUGAAUGAGCCGAUGUCGGAUUAGCUAGUUGGCGGGGUAAAGGCCCACCAAGGCGACGAUCCGUAGCUGGUCUGAGGGGAUGAUCAGCCACACUGGAACUGAGACACGGUCCAGACUCCUACGGGAGGCAGCAGUGGGGAAUAUUGGACAAUGGGCGCAAGCCUGAUCCAGCCAUACCGCGUGGGUGAAGAAGGCCUUCGGGUUGUAAAGCCCUUUUGUUGGGAAAGAAAAGCAGCGGGUUAAUACCCCGCUGUUCUGACGGUACCCAAAGAAUAAGCACCGGCUAACUUCGUG
This 492-nucleotide ribosomal RNA is filed under the name uncultured bacterium. RNAcentral describes it as "partial 16S ribosomal RNA". It matches the Rfam family "Bacterial small subunit ribosomal RNA", at positions 29 to 507 of the family's 1533-position model. The record is from RNAcentral.